This is a small nucleolar RNA of 90 nucleotides. It matches the Rfam family "A. fumigatus snoRNA Afu_264". The record is from Rfam.
UCCUCGAAUGAUGUUUAUCAAUUGCAUUUUUCUGGCAACCUCUUAUGUCAGAGACGCUUCGCGUCUCGAUGAUCUAAAUGGACUCUGACC